UAUCCGUAGGUGAACCUGCGGAGGGAUCAUUACGGAGUUUUUGCCCGCAAGGGUAGAUCUCCCACCCUAUGUUAUUCCUUCUCUGUUGCUUUGGCGGGCCGUCCGGCCUCGGUCAGGCCACCGGCUCCGGCUGGUGCGCGCCCGCCAGAGGACCCCAAACCCUAAAUGUCAGUGUCGUCUGAGUACUAUAUAAUAGUUAAAACUUUCAACAACGGAUCUCUUGGUUCUG
This 229-nucleotide unclassified non-coding RNA is filed under the name plant metagenome. Its description in RNAcentral is "partial contains small subunit ribosomal RNA, internal transcribed spacer 1, and 5.8S ribosomal RNA". The record is from RNAcentral.